AAAACCCGAUUUUUUUUCAUCUUUAUCAUUUUCUGAUCAUAUAAACAUUCAAAUUCAAAUUUCAAAUAAAAAAAUUCAUGUUGUUUUGGAAACAAUAUCAAUUUACGUUCAAUUUCAUUCACUGCAUAUCUUAUCUUAUUUUGACUGUUUUGAAUAUUUAUAUGAAUCCCAAAAAAUCAGGAAUUCCAAUUUACUCAUAUAUUAACUCCGUUUAUAUUCUGCAUUCUUGUCUUCAACAUCCAUUCUCAUCUUCAGUAUUACGAUUUCUGCAUCUGCAUUCUGCACGUUGUUGACAUAACAAAUCUGGUGAGUUCAUCAUCAUAACUGAAAAUAUAAAACCAUUUUGUGAAAAUAUAUUAAAACCAAUGCAGCUAUGUUUGCUAUUUUUUUUUAAAUUAAAUGAUUAUUCGCAAUUUGUGUUUUCAUAUUAUUUGAUGUUCUUUGAAGUUUGAUCUUCAUGUUUUUGUUCGACAUAAAAUGUUCCCAGGGGUAUUAUAGUCUUUAAUUUACUUUUUUGUUUUUAGUUUUCUUAUAUAUGUUAUUUGAUUUUGAAAGUUCCAGCACUAAAUACCACUCUUGUGUUGGACAUUAAAUCGUCCCAGGGGUAUUUUAGUCUUUAAUUUACUUUUUUGUUUUUAGUUUUGUUAUAUAUGCUAUUUGAUUUUGAAAGUUCCAGCACUAAAUAUCACUCUUGUCCUUUUAUUUUUCUUAAAAUUGAAACAUAUUUGUUUUUUUUUUUUUUUUUUUAUUUUUUUUUUCAUAUAAUAGCAUCCUACUUUUGGGUGACAUUUUGAAGGUUCUGUUUGACAGAAAAUGGUCCCAGGGGUAUUUUAGUCUUUAAAUUACUUAUUAUACUUUAUAUGUGUUAUAUCAAGUAAACUAUCCCCUGAAAAUAUCUAAAAGAAAAUUCCAGCACUAAAUACCACUCUUUUGUUGGACAUUGAAUCGUCCCAGGGGCAUUUUUGUCUUUAAUUUACUUUUUUGUUUUUAUUUUGAAAGUUCCAACACUAAAUAUCACUCCUGUCCUUUUAUUUUUCUUAAAAUUGAAACAUAUUUGUUUUUUUUUUUUUUUUUUAUUUUUUUUCAUAUAAUAGCAUCCUACUUUUGGGUGACAUUUUGAAGGUUCUGUUUGAUUUUUUUUUUGGUUCUCGGUGUUUAUGGCUUUCAGUUUUUAUGUAAUUGAUUUUUUUUAAUUUCGUUGUUCAUCUCUAUAUAUCAAGUAAACUUAUUAUAUUUUAUAUAUGUUAUAUAUUAUUAUAUAUAACAUACCGAACAAACAGAAAAUCUUUCAGUUUAGUUUGGUGAUUUUAUGUUAUUUUUAAGUUAUUUUUAUUUUAUUAUUAUUAUUAUUAUUAUUAUUUUUUGCAUAUAAUAGCAUCCUACUUUUUUAUUUUGUUUUUUUAGUUUUGUUAUAUAUGUUAUUUGUUGUGUUGGACAGAAAAUCAUCUAAAGGGUAUUUUAGUUUUUAAUUUACUUUUUUGUUUUCUGUUUUGGCUCUCAGUUUUUAUAUAAGUGAUUGUUUUUUUUUUAAUUUUGUUGUUUAUAUAUCAAAUAAACUUAUUAUUCGUUAUAUAUGCUAUUUAUUGUGUUGGACAUAAAAUCGUCCCAGGGGUAUUUUACUCUAUAAUUGACUUAUUUGUUUUCUUCUUUGGCUCUCAGUGUUUACAUAACUAAUUUUUUGUUGAAUUUUGUUGUUCAUAUUUAUAUAUCAAAUAAACUUAUUAUAUUCUUAUAUAUGAUAUUUGUUGUGUUUGUCAGAAAAUUGUCUUAGGGGUAUAUUAGUCUUUAAUUAAGUUUUUAGUUUUUUCUUUUGGCUGUCAGUUUUUAUAUAACUGGUUUUUUUUCAUGUUUAUAUAAAAACUAAGCUUAUUAUAUAUUACAUAUACUAUUACUAAAUUUUUAGGGGAUAAAGUAAAUACAAGUUGUAAAAUUUAUUGUCAUUUCAUUGACUUUUCAAAUUACUUUUACAGAUAUGGCUACUUCAAAGAUUACAUUCAUAAAAGACAUUAACCCAGUCAAUUCGGAUUUCACUAUCAAAGUCAAAGUAUUGAAGUUAUGGACGCUCAAUUCUAAAUUUAAUGAGAACGAAAAGUACUCCAUCGAAAUGAUUUUAUUGGAUGAAUAGGUAUAUUCUUAUUGUUUUCCAAAAAAUAUAUUGCAUUUUACCGUUCAUUUUUUAUAAAUAUCUUACAUGAUUACAAUUUGAUAAUGUUGUCUUCUUUAAUGUUUAGGGAUCUCUAAUUCAAGCUAAUGUUUUCCAAAACUUAUUUUAUAAGUUUGAAAAAAGUCUUCGUGAGGGAUCCGUUUAUGAAUUUACCACCCUAUCUGUUGCAAAACACAAUCCACAUCCCAAAUCUAUCAUCUUUUCUCAUCUUCCAAAUAAAAUAACCUUCAUAAGGGAAACAGAACUUAAGGAAAGUCUUAAUUUUCCGAAUUAUAUUUAUUAAAUGUUUUUGUAUAUUUAUUAAUUUUUUUUUACUAUAUAAAAUUUCUAACUUAUAUCCCGUGGUUUCCACGGGUUUUAACCUAGUAACUACAAAAUAAAGAUAUGCAAAAUUAAAUCACAAUAGCUAAUAAAUAAUAAAACAUAUUUUGAUAAAAUGAUAUAGUGUGUAACUUUGGAGAGGGCCACGACUUGAUAUUCAUGCACAUAAUUCCCAAAAUCUAAGGACAAACAAAAAUGGAUGAGUCAAUAGAUACAAUUCUAGAAAAAAAAUGUUUAGGAAUGAAAAUAUACAUAGUAGUUCCAGGAAAAUAUACAUUCUUGAUUACAAUACAAUCAAGCAACAAAAUAAUUGACAUCACGUUCAGAACAAGAAAAAAAUAUAUUCUUUUUUGAAAAUUAAGUUGAAUCGAUGUAUGUCCUUCCCAACAAAUUUUUGAUAUCAUUUUUCGAAAUUUGGUCCUAAUUUUCCAUAAAAAAUACCUAAACACAAAAAAUAAAAAAAUAAUCCAUUCUUAUUAGGGUAGAUAAAUUAAUAUUCAAAUCAGCAAAGAAAUUAGAACGCAUAACCAAUUUAAAAUUUGUAAACAUUGAGCUGAAAUAAACAAAAUAAUCCAAUUAUCAUAAAGAAACUUAUCACAUUUAAAGAGAGGAUAAAAGAUACGACGGGGGAAAGAAGAGAAACAAACGAAGAAAGACAUUUACCUAAGGUAGAGGCGUCAUCAGGAGGUGACGUCGGCGAUGGGAAACAAAGAUGUGUAGGGAUGGUCGGAGAGACUUCAUGUGCCGAUUGGUAAGGAUUUCGAGUGAGGGGAAGGAUUACUCGAUUGGUUGGCGCAUGAUGAAGGUGGAGUCUAACUUAGCCUCCCUCAAUUUAGAAAGACGAUGAGAAAUUGCUGGUCAUCGGUGACGCACCAGUGCCGAUGAGUGGGACUGGCGCCGAAAAACGGAGGAGGGGAGGAAGAAUCACUCCAGGUUUAAGCGGCUAGGGUUCAGGAUGGGUAUAUGAACGACAUGAGAGAGAGAGAGUAGAUAUA
RNAcentral lists this long non-coding RNA (3480 nucleotides) under Lactuca sativa (garden lettuce). RNAcentral's name for it is "long non-coding RNA (LSAT_LNC004010)". Lineage: Eukaryota; Viridiplantae; Streptophyta; Magnoliopsida; Asterales; Asteraceae. The record is from RNAcentral.